Non-coding RNA from Pimephales promelas (fathead minnow), 660 nucleotides. The record is from RefSeq and is a predicted model, not a curated record. NCBI's taxonomy places the organism in Eukaryota, Metazoa, Chordata, Actinopteri, Cypriniformes, Leuciscidae.
CGGAAACAAAGACACCUAUAUCUUGGAUGAACUGGAAAGCUGUGCAGAAGGUCAAGCGGUUUUUAAUUUGUAAAGUUUUAGGUGGCAAUACUACACUUUUUCUCAUCUAUUGCUGAAUUGACAGACCCUAGUCUUAAAUAUAUUAAAUGAGGACAAGAAAAUGCUGUACUAGAAAAAUUCAUCUGACUCAGAGGGUGGAGUUCUGCGUCUCUGAAUGGAUCUCACAAAAGUGCAGGAGCACAUAUUAUAUGAUGAAACAGACAUCUUGAUUUGGGCAUCCAAUAUAUCAACCAUUAUGUUUAUUUACACACUUAUGAUUUUAUGGAUCCACCUGGGUGAGACAGAGGCAAAUGCAAUCUUCCCACUAUUACCUAUAAAGAGCACUGUUGUUGGUGGAAAUGUAACUAUAUCCUGCAGUUACAAAGGAUUCACUGGAAGUGUGCUAAAUGUACAGUGGUACAAACAAUAUGCCAGAUCAAAACUAAAGUUCAUUGUCCACAGCUAUCCACAGGGAGGUCCAGCCUUACCCAUAAACAUAUCACGAUUUUCUGGCAAAUUUGAUCAAGACCUUCAACAAGUGGAUCUAAAGAUCUCAAAUGUUGUUUGGACAGAUUCAGCAGUGUACUACUUCGCACUGCAGCCCACAGUCACAGAACACUA